This 229-nucleotide ribosomal RNA is filed under the name uncultured bacterium. RNAcentral's name for it is "partial 16S ribosomal RNA". It matches the Rfam family "Bacterial small subunit ribosomal RNA", at positions 118 to 347 of the family's 1533-position model. The record is from RNAcentral.
UGAGCAAUCUGCCCUUCUCUUCGGAAUAAGCGUUGGAAACGACGUCUAAUGCCGAAUACGACCUCCUUUCGCAUGAUCGGAGGUGGAAAGCUCCGGCGGAGAAGGAUGAGCUCGCGGCCUAUCAGCUAGUUGGUGGGGUAAUGGCUCACCAAGGCGACGACGGGUAGCUGGUCUGAGAGGAUGGCCAGCCACAUUGGGACUGAGACACGGCCCAGACCUCUACGGGAGG